AUUAUAUGGGGAAAAUAAACCUUAUUCAAACAUUUAGAGAGUGAUGAUGCAAUGCUGCUGGUAAGGACAUCAAAAAGGCAAGAGCCAGCCUUAGGUCUAUCAACAGUACAACCCAGCAGACUGCCCAUUUCAUCUCAGUUCAGUGUGAGGUGUGACGACUGCCUGAAUAUAUAAAGGUUUUUUUUUCCUUGGAGCAUCAAUAAAAGUCUGGG
This is a long non-coding RNA of Notolabrus celidotus (New Zealand spotty), 212 nucleotides long. RefSeq lists it as uncharacterized. Lineage: Eukaryota; Metazoa; Chordata; Actinopteri; Labriformes; Labridae. The transcript has 3 exons. The record is from RefSeq and is a predicted model, not a curated record.